UCAUUUAAUUAAUCAUUGGCAGCACCUAAACUAGCCCUACUAUUAUUACGAGUAUUGGUGACUGAAUAAUCUCGUCUUUCGAAUGACGAUGCGCAGUGAAUUUGCUACCUGGGCUGCAUACGCAAUCUCGUUGGGAACGAUUUGGUACUUUGUGAAAAAGAAGGCUGAGAAGGCGAAAUACGAUACCAGCGAAGCUAUAGAAGAAAACGGUCUAGAUCCAGACUCUUUGGCUUAUAACUUAGAUGCCUAUUGGGCUGGACACCUUCCGCCAGAAUGUGAAGAUUUUAUCGACAUGAUUCGAUUUCCAAAUGUAUUUCGACGCUAUGGAUCGAAGAUACCUAAAGGUUUACUACUAUACGGAGAUCCCGGAACAGGGAAGACUUAUUUUGGCAAGAUGUUAGCGAACAUUGUAAAUGCCCACUUUUUUUAUGCCGCUGCUUCUCCAGAUGGAUGAAAUCUAUCUUGGAAGUGGUCCCAAGAAAAUCCGCGCUCUAUUCGAUAAGGCUAAAAAGGCGGCUGAAAAUGGAGAGGUCGAAAAAAGUUCCUCUGGCUGGUUCAACCAGUCAGAAGGUAUAUUAGAAGACAUCGACAAUUUAAAAGUUGAGAAUUCAUUUAAAAACAAAAAGAUAAGCAUUAUUUUUUUAGAUGAGAUCGAUGCUUUUGGCAAUCGCGAAAGUGUUUACUCAGACUCUAGACAUGCUACACUCUCUCAACUCCUUACGUGCAUGGAUGGAAUUCAGCGCUACGACAAUGUCAUUGUCAUUGGUGCGACGAAUUACUUAAAUGCCGUCGAUAGUGCCUUGACUCGUAGUGGUCGUUUUGAUCGAAUUAUUAAAAUGACACUACCUGACAAGCUCAGUCGUCGCGACUUGCUCGCAUUUUAUCUAAAAGAAGUUCCUGACAUUAAAUUAGAGCAGUGGAAUGAUUUAUUGGACAUUUUGUCUGAAGCCACAGAAGGGUUCAACUGUUCAGACCUCCGAUUGGUUGUCAAUGAGGCCACUUUGCGUGCCACGCGUGAGACAGUUGGUAAACUGAAGGGACGUAUAAAUACUCAACUGAAUAAAAAGGGCUACCUUCCGGAGGAAGGAGAACUCUCAACACAGGAUAUAGACGAAUUAAUUGUUACACCCUUAAGCCAAGAAGACUUAAUCGGAGCAUUUCUAAGUGUUUACAACAAAAUUCUCUUAGAGUCCAAGUCGGUGAAGCAAUAUAAUAGAAGGCCUUUAUUGGCUCCAGCUAAACUUAAAAGAAUUCACCAGAUGCUGAAUACAAAUUAGAUUAUGUGCUUUCGAAUUUGCACGAAAAAUACAUAAGGGCUGUUUCUGUUGCACACUCACCAUCAUAUUUUGAAUAAACGCCGAAAAAGAAAUUCAACGUUUGAAAUUGUGGCUCUUUUAGAUAACUGUUGGAAGUUUAGCAUUUUUAUAAACUCUAUUGUCGAGUACCUCUGGCCGAGAUAUAUUUUUCAGAAGGGGCGCCCGUUCGCUCGUAAUAUGUUCAGCGAGAAUGUGGUUCACAGGUGAGGAGCAACGCGUUGCUGAAAAUUUUGCAUCACAGAAACCAGGUGUGUUAGGGACGAACAUUGUCAAUUGCUUUCCGCACAUUACUAGUAGUAAAAAUCCCAAUAACUCGAAUGGCCGGGCAUUUUUACGAUAUGCAAAAAUAGCACUUGGAAUAAUGCCGUCAAUUAUUAAAAAAUACGUUACCAUCUCUGAAUUACACAGCAAAUUUUCUGUGUUUAAUUUGUUCGCGGUUCCAGUGUUGAAGUAUCCGCACAAGAUCGAGCGAAUUUAUAGGUGUUUAUUUCGUUUAAUAAAACACUCACUCUCUUUUAGAUCACUGAUAAAAUGUGCAAAAAAAA
Molecule: long non-coding RNA, 1861 nt
Organism: Schistocerca gregaria
Lineage: Eukaryota; Metazoa; Arthropoda; Insecta; Orthoptera; Acrididae
Exons: 5
Source: RefSeq, a predicted model, not a curated record